CUCGCCUAGGCAGACGACACACUGCUGUUGCAUGGAGUAAAAAAGUUUCAGGUCCAUUAUUGCGCCUGCACAAGCUAACAUAAAUUAUCUAGACGUUAGCCACUGUGUAAGAAGAGCCUUGUUUUGGACCCAGGACCUGGUGUUGAACCACGCAAGGAUGUUGUUCUGAGUCCAGAGGAAUGUUCUUUAGCCUCAGAGUGCAGCAGACAUAAUGCGGGAAAAACCCACACCACCGUCACGAAUCAAUCAACGGGGGUGGACGCGGGUUGAUUCCACCUAAGUAGCUUUGCGAUUAAAAUCUGCGGCGGGUUUGGAUGAGAAGCAUUAGCCCUGAUGGGUGACGUUAGCCGGGGUCAGGGGUUAAAUUGCCCUUAUAGAGCGCGAGAAUAGUUUCCAGCUUUUCAAUUGUUUUGUUUUGCUUUCUGGUGACCACACGGAGAUCUAAUUUUGAUGCCGGGGAAACGGGCAAAGGUUCUCUGUCUUGAUUGGGCCGAGUCGAGCCAGAUGGCUUUCAGGACGGCGUUUAACGCCGGGCGGAGCCGCCGAUCAAUACUCUUCAGCCUGUGAGGUAAUCGUUCUUCUUUUUGUUCACGUGUGAUUUAGAGACUAAUGAAAGCACUCUGUCGCGAUCGUUACAGUAAUCCCCGCUUUACUUUUGUUUUAACCCGUCACUUUCAUUCGCCUUUCGCGGAGCCCGGUUCAAUAAAGUCUGAGAAUUCCACCCCCGCCUCCUGCCAGAGGUCCCCCCACCCUAACCACUCAAUGACAAUAACAAUCCGCCGGAGGAGCAACGACGGGGGAACGAUCGCAGGUCGGCUCAAUUGCUCCGAAGGGUCCUUCAAGGAGGAGGAAACUCGCAGAGCAAAGGAAAUGAGUGACACCGAGGAGCAAAUGGGGCCGUGGAGAGACCCCGGAGGGCUGCUCGUGCGCUCCGCCGCGCUCUCAACGCAUACAAGAAUGCAAAAGGCAGCACCCACUUUAGAAGAGACACUUGAAGUGAAGAGGACGGGGGCGGAGCCUCUGCGUAUCCGCAAGUAGCCUCUCUGUCUCCCCUCGGCCCAACCUGCUGCUUUAGCUGCAACCCUCUUUCACGGCUGCUACACCUUCUCUGCGAUUGAUACCAUCAGUUCUGCAUGUCUUAGCAUUAUUAGCGUCGGCCAUUUCAUUGUUUGCUCAGCGCGAUGCUAACACAUUGAGAUGUCAACAUCUCCCCCACCCCCAACAAUCGCACGAGUGGGUUGUUUGAAUGUUUAUCUACUCCUCGUACUUCAGCGGGGUUAAGAGUCACCUGCAGCAGAUUCAAUACAUUUUUAAUGAAGCCUUUUUUU
This 1328-nucleotide long non-coding RNA is filed under the name Takifugu rubripes (torafugu). RNAcentral's name for it is "lncRNA (ENSTRUG00000030176.1)". Lineage: Eukaryota; Metazoa; Chordata; Actinopteri; Tetraodontiformes; Tetraodontidae. The record is from RNAcentral.